RNAcentral lists this ribosomal RNA (577 nucleotides) under uncultured Streptococcus sp. RNAcentral's name for it is "bacterial SSU rRNA". It matches the Rfam family "Bacterial small subunit ribosomal RNA", at positions 18 to 577 of the family's 1533-position model. Lineage: Bacteria; Bacillati; Bacillota; Bacilli; Lactobacillales; Streptococcaceae. The record is from RNAcentral.
CCUGGCUCAGGACGAACGCUGGCGGCGUGCCUAAUACAUGCAAGUAGAACGCUGAAGAGAGGAGCUUGCUCUUCUUGGAAGAGUUGCGAACGGGUGAGUAACGCGUAGGUAACCUGCCUUGUAGCGGGGGAUAACUAUUGGAAACGAUAGCUAAUACCGCAUAACAAUGGGUGACCCAUGUCAUUCAUUUGAAAGGGGCAAAUGCUCCACUACAAGAUGGACCUGCGUUGUAUUAGCUAGUAGGUGAGGUAACGGCUCACCUAGGCGACGAUACAUAGCCGACCUGAGAGGGUGAUCGGCCACACUGGGACUGAGACACGGCCCAGACUCCUACGGGAGGCAGCAGUAGGGAAUCUUCGGCAAUGGGGGCAACCCUGACCGAGCAACGCCGCGUGAGUGAAGAAGGUUUUCGGAUCGUAAAGCUCUGUUGUAAGUCAAGAACGAGUGUGAGAGUGGAAAGUUCACACUGUGACGGUAGCUUACCAGAAAGGGACGGCUAACUACGUGCCAGCAGCCGCGGUAAUACGUAGGUCCCGAGCGUUGUCCGGAUUUAUUGGGCGUAAAGCGAGCGCAGGCG